UGGGGAAUAUUGCACAAUGGGCGAAAGCCUGAUGCAGCAACGCCGCGUGAGUGAUGAAGGCCUUCGGGUUGUAAAGCUCUGUCUUUUGGGACGAUAAUGACGGUACCAAAGGAGGAAGCCACGGCUAACUACGUGCCAGCAGCCGCGGUAAUACGUAGGUGGCAAGCGUUGUCCGGAUUUACUGGGCGUAAAGGAUGCGUAGGCGGAUUUUUAAGUGAGAUGUGAAAUACCCGGGCUUAACUUGGGUGCUGCAUUUCAAACUGGGAAUCUAGAGUGCGGGAGAGGAGAAUGGAAUUCCUAGUGUAGCGGUGAAAUGCGUAGAGAUUAGGAAGAACACCAGUGGCGAAGGCGAUUCUCUGGACCGUAACUGACGCUGAGGCAUGAAAGCGUGGGUAGCAAACAGGAUUAGAUACCCUGGUAGUCCACGCCGUAAACGAUGAGUACUAGGUGUAGGAGGUAUCGACCCCUUCUGUGCCGCAGUUAACACAAUAAGUACUCCGCCUGGGAAGUACGAUCGCAAGAUUAAAACUCAAAGGAAUGACGGGGUC
Molecule: ribosomal RNA, 548 nt
Filed under: uncultured bacterium
Lineage: Bacteria
Description: partial 16S ribosomal RNA
Rfam family: Bacterial small subunit ribosomal RNA
Source: RNAcentral